GAUUUACUUCGGUAAUGACGUUGGGAAAGCGAGCGGCGGAUGGGUGAGUAACACGUGGGGAACCUGCCCCUAAGUCUGGGAUACCAUUUGGAAACAGGUGCUAAUACCGGAUAAUAAAGCAGAUCGCAUGAUCAGCUUUUGAAAGGCGGCGUAAGCUGUCGCUAAGGGAUGGCCCCGCGGUGCAUUAGCUAGUUGGUAAGGUAACGGCUUACCAAGGCGACGAUGCAUAGCCGAGUUGAGAGACUGAUCGGCCACAUUGGGACUGAGACACGGCCCAAACUCCUACGGGAGGCAGCAGUAGGGAAUUUUCCACAAUGGACGCAAGUCUGAUGGAGCAACGCCGCGUGAGUGAAGAAGGUUUUCGGAUCGUAAAGCUCUGUUGUUGGUGAAGAAGGAUAGAGGUAGUAACUGGCCUUUAUUUGACGGUAAUCAACCAGAAAGUCACGGCUAACUACGUGCCAGCAGCCGCGGUAAUACGUAGGUGGCAAGCGUUGUCCGGAUUUAUUGGGCGUAAAGCGAGCGCAGGCGGAAAAAUAAGUCUAAUGUGAAAGCCCUCGGCUUAACCGAGGAACUGCAUCGGAAACUGUUUUUCUUGAGUGCAGAAGAGGAGAGUGGAACUCCAUGUGUAGCGGUGGAAUGCGUAGAUAUAUGGAAGAACAC
This 660-nucleotide ribosomal RNA is filed under the name uncultured bacterium. RNAcentral describes it as "bacterial SSU rRNA". It matches the Rfam family "Bacterial small subunit ribosomal RNA", at positions 68 to 709 of the family's 1533-position model. The record is from RNAcentral.